GCGUUGGUGGCCCUGUUUCCCCUAGCAGAGACUUCCUCCAAGGACCACUGUCCCAUGGGAGCCAAGUGAAGCUCUGCUCUCAGGACUGUGAAGUGCCAGCCAGAAUAACCAUCAGCAUGCAGGUGUUAUACAGACUGUCUUCUUUCCUCUGUCCCCAGGGAACAAGUACCUGGCCAGUGCUGAGUCUGCAGUGGCUGUGGUUUGAGUGAUGGAUGGCCUUAGACUGAGCUGUAAAAUAAUGAACGACUACACUGUUGCUGUAAAAACCGUAUUGCCAGUUCAUGGUCUCCUCAUGCUCAUGCUUGACAGGUUUCUAGUCCAGGUGGAGACCCUCUUUGAGGCCAUGAGGUGAAAUUAAGGAAUCAGCCCCAUGGCCUGAUGCAGAAGCACUUGGACUGGUGGCUUGCGGCAGUGUGACAGCACCAGAGACAUCCUGGCUGGCCAGAGUUUUGUUACAAGCUGGCACCGAGGCGUGUUUGUCCCCAGCAAGAGAACAAGUAGGACCUGGGCUCUGUAGCAACAGAUGCUUUAGGUGGGAGGGAGCCCAAGACUUUGGCACAUAGCAGGAGGGUUUUGGGCGCUCGUCCUCAGCUGCAGGAGAGGAGGAGGGGGGUUGCAGAGGGGAAGGCUUGGCAGCAGACGGGAGGGAGAGAUUCUCUCCCUCACAGGCUGGGAAAGAGGGCUUAAGCAUCAGGUUGCCUGGCAAUGGGUUUCUAGGCAUCAGAAAUUGCUCUGAUCUGUUCACAUAGUGCGCUAGCUCAGAACAAAGCCCAUCUCUGUCCCUUUAAAGAUGGGGAGGAGCUGCAGGAUCGAGAUAUAUCACCUGGCAACAGGAUGCUGCCUCUCCUCCCUCUCCUCUGCACCAGAAGCUACCCUGGUGAAGCUUGCGCCGUGCAAGAAGGAGCAGCGGGAUGCCAGGAAGCCGAAGUGGCGAAUCAUCGCUUUCAAACAGCACUAAUGGGAGAGCAGGGGAGAGCUUGUUUGCGUUCAGACAACGGGAGCUAAUUUCCAGUGGCGGCAAGCGCCUGUCAGCCUCGCAGAAAUGUUCAGCCUGUUUGGAAAUGGUGAGAUAAUCCCCACAGCAUCCCAGUGCGGAGAGAAAGAAGGGCAGGAUUAGACCUUUAUCUGUGCCAUAGCAGCAGGAUAUGGCCUCCAAAGAGCUUUCACCUCUGUCAACUAACCCCUAGCUAUGGUGUGGGAUCCAAAAGCCCUGUUUUCAAGCCUACGUUUGAAUGAAGUAAGGGGGGGGGAGGUUUCUAGCCCUACUGGGGCAAGUCCAUGGAGGGAUGAGAUCAGCUUGUGAGGGAUGAGCAACCACUUUGCGUGGCAAAUGGCAGGUUCAGAGGUGGAAGGAAGGAAAUGGGAGAGAGGGGCAGGAGGUGGAGACACCAGGCACAGAUGCCCAGCUACACUCAGGUAGGAUGCAGACCUUAAAAGCUGAUGAUACCUUUACCACCCCCUUGCAGAUGUCCUGAAUAAUCCAAAUACCAGCAGUGGCACUGGGCACCAGUGUUCCAGCAGCUGGAUGAAGCCCACCUUGCUUGAGACCACACUGAAACAGAACACGACAAAGAUCCUGUGUCUCCUGAAUGCAUAUUAAUGCAGCCAUUAAGGGUUGCAUAGUCAAAAGACUGGGCAAAUUUAUGGGCAGAAACAUCCAUCCAGGACUGCUGAAUGUAAAAGCUCUUUCUCAGAAAGUCUGUGAAUUAUAGUUCACUGGGGGCUGAACAACUGUUUUGGAAAGAAUCAUUCCACACUUACAUUUUCUUUUUACAUUGUCUCUUGACACCUGCUGCUGGCCACACUUGGCAGCAGGGCACUGAGCUGGAGCGACCUUCUGUUUGACCUGCGAUAGCCAUCCUUAUCCUUUAAGUCCCAUCAUCUCUCUAAUUGCUGCAUCAUUAAUAUAAGCAAUGUCUCUUCUGAUAAUUUGCUUCUACCCACACCUCCCAUCCAUGUAGCAAAGCAUGGGAUCUGCAAGCUUUGCCAUCAGCCUGUACAAGUC
Molecule: long non-coding RNA, 2005 nt
Filed under: Anas platyrhynchos platyrhynchos (common mallard)
Lineage: Eukaryota; Metazoa; Chordata; Aves; Anseriformes; Anatidae
Description: lncRNA (ENSAPLG00000017329.1)
Source: RNAcentral